This 246-nucleotide ribosomal RNA is filed under the name uncultured Lactobacillus sp. RNAcentral describes it as "partial 16S ribosomal RNA". It matches the Rfam family "Bacterial small subunit ribosomal RNA", at positions 116 to 355 of the family's 1533-position model. The record is from RNAcentral. Lineage: Bacteria; Bacillati; Bacillota; Bacilli; Lactobacillales; Lactobacillaceae.
CGUGGGUAACCUGCCCAAGAGAUCGGGAUAACACCUGGAAACAGAUGCUAAUACCGGAUAACAACAGAUGAUGCCUAUCAACUGUUUAAAAGAUGGUUAUGCUAUCACUAUUGGAUGGACCUGCGGUGCAUUAGCUAGUUGGUAGGGUAACGGCCUACCAAGGCGAUGAUGCAUAGCCGAGUUGAGAGACUGAUCGGCCACAUUGGGACUGAGACACGGCCCAAACUCCUACGGGAGGCAGCAGCC